GACGGGGGAUGCAAGCGUUAUCCGGAAUGAUUGGGCGUAAAGGGUCCGCAGGUGGCCCGGUCAGUCCGCUGUCAAAGCCUGGGGCUCAACCCUGGAGAGGCGGCGGAGACCACCGGGCUUGAGUCCGGUAGGGGCAGAGGGAAUUCCCGGUGGAGCGGUGAAAUGCGUAGAUAUCGGGAGGAACACCAGUGGCGAAGGCGAUUACCUGGGGUUGAUCUGACGCUGAGGAGCGAAAGCUAGGGGAGCAAACGGG
RNAcentral lists this ribosomal RNA (253 nucleotides) under uncultured prokaryote. Its description in RNAcentral is "partial 16S ribosomal RNA". It matches the Rfam family "Bacterial small subunit ribosomal RNA", at positions 524 to 776 of the family's 1533-position model. The record is from RNAcentral.